UUUCUGAAGGCUGUGUGCACACGUUCUUGCAGUCGUCAUUCUUCUUACAAAUUCCCGAGUGUGGAAAUCUAUAGUUACAUUUACCUGACAAAAAUAUUUAAAAAUAAAUCAGUUCAUUUUAUUAUAUCAUUCAGUUAUGAAGAAUUAGAGUAAGAAAAGAUAUAUUACUAUAGUAAGUUAGCUAACUGUAAGUUUUUGGUCAAUUACUAAUUAAGGGAAGCAUUUCAGAUUUAAGAGGUUAUAGAAUAUAUUUUAUAUGUAUAUAUCUGUGUUUUCAUUAUCUUAGAUGUAUAUAUUUUUUAUUUUAAUAAAAAGUUUACAAAUAAAAUUAUAAAAAAAUAAAGAAAACUUAAGUGAAUUUUUAGUAAAACUUUAGUAAUUUUUAUUCAAUAAAUUUCAUUACUAAAUAUAUAUAUAAAUUACUUUAAAUAUUUAUUAACGCUAGAUUUUAUUAAAAAUAUUGUAACCAACAAUAUGAUCUGAAAUUUUUUACAGUCACACAAAUCCAACUCCCACUAAUACUCCAUAAAACUAAGACAAUAUUAAUUAAGUUAAAAUUAUACAUAUUUAAAUGUUUAGAAAUGUAACCAAAACUAUUAUCCGAUGUAAAAGCGAUUAAUUAAGUGUCCAAAAUUGUUAGAUUUAUUCAAGUUUAUAUUUCUUUGAUAAUAUAGAAUAUUAAAUUUAAUAAAUGAAAAGCAUAAUAUGUGUGAUGGCAACUCAAGAAGCGAUCUAGGGUUUUGAUGUUCUCUCGGCGAUGGGAUCCCGGAAUCGGUGAGGAGGUUUGGAUUGGAAUAGGAAAUCAUCAAGAUAAGAUUCAUGGAGAUACGGAAAAGAGAUUUCUUUCAGAUCUCAGGCGAUUUGAAGUGAUAAGAGGAAAAUGGGAAUUGGGGACACUAAGGAAAAUCAGGAUAAUAGCGAAGCUGAUCUCGAUUUCGGUCAUCAUCAAGACGAAAUUGCAGGAUAAUAAAGGCACAGACUAAACUAGUAUAUAGUUAUUUUGAUUACAAGGCUGACCAAGUGCUCAGGCAGGAGUGGACAAGCAAGGUAGUGAUUAUGGAAUGGAGAAUAAGGCUACAAAGGUAUGGCAUUCUGGUCUACAGACAGAAGGACGUGACAAUGAUUGAUGACUUAAUGAAGCUAAUGGAUUACAUUCUCUAUGAAGAUCGGGGGUGUGUAAGCUUCAGUGGUUUGGAUCUGUUAUUAUUGGUGAUUUUGGUUGACAGCGGGGCUGUUACGUUUGGAUUUACGGUGGGUACUAAGAAUGUCCUUUUAUACUAUCUUGGUGCGAAUUUUUGUAAUCAUAGUAGUCUAUUGGUAAGUGUGUGUAA
Brassica napus (rape) is the source of this 1331-nucleotide long non-coding RNA. RefSeq lists it as uncharacterized. The transcript is spliced from 2 exons. The record is from RefSeq and is a predicted model, not a curated record. NCBI's taxonomy places the organism in Eukaryota, Viridiplantae, Streptophyta, Magnoliopsida, Brassicales, Brassicaceae.